RNAcentral lists this transfer RNA (89 nucleotides) under Geobacter sp. FeAm09. Its description in RNAcentral is "tRNA-Ser". It matches the Rfam family "tRNA". From Rfam's summary of the family: Transfer RNA (tRNA) molecules are approximately 80 nucleotides in length. Their secondary structure includes four short double-helical elements and three loops (D, anti-codon, and T loops). Lineage: Bacteria; Pseudomonadati; Thermodesulfobacteriota; Desulfuromonadia; Geobacterales; Geobacteraceae. The record is from RNAcentral.
GGAGAAGUGGCCGAGUGGUCGAAGGCGCUUGACUCGAAAUCAAGUGUACCCUCCGGGUACCUAGGGUUCGAAUCCCUACUUCUCCGCCA